UCAUGUGAUUACGAUGCUGAUUUUGGGUUGUCACAUAUGGAUAGCUUUUCAUCUAGUGAUAAAGAAAAUGCAAAGCCAGGGAGGAAAAGUGUUUUGGAUGAUGCAUUGUUUCAGUUUUUUCGCAAAGAGGCUAUCAAAUCUCUCAAGAGGGACUUUUCCAAGUUCUGCGAAGAGUCUGUCUUAUUCUCUAAG
Lolium rigidum is the source of this 192-nucleotide long non-coding RNA. RefSeq lists it as uncharacterized. The record is from RefSeq and is a predicted model, not a curated record. The transcript has 3 exons. Lineage: Eukaryota; Viridiplantae; Streptophyta; Magnoliopsida; Poales; Poaceae.